GUGCCAGCCGCCGCGGUAAUACGGAGGGUGCAAGCGUUAAUCGGAAUUACUGGGCGUAAAGCGUACGCAGGCGGUUUGUUAAGCGAGAUGUGAAAGCCCCGGGCUCAACCUGGGAACUGCAUUUCGAACUGGCAAACUAGAGUGUGAUAGAGGGUGGUAGAAUUUCAGGUGUAGCGGUGAAAUGCGUAGAGAUCUGAAGGAAUACCGGUGGCGAAGGCGGCCCCCUGGACAGAUACUGACACUCAGAUGCGAAAGCGUGGGGAGCAAACAGGAUUAGAAACCCCCGUAGUCC
This 292-nucleotide ribosomal RNA is filed under the name uncultured prokaryote. RNAcentral's name for it is "partial 16S ribosomal RNA". It matches the Rfam family "Bacterial small subunit ribosomal RNA", at positions 505 to 796 of the family's 1533-position model. The record is from RNAcentral.